This 494-nucleotide ribosomal RNA is filed under the name uncultured bacterium. Its description in RNAcentral is "partial 16S ribosomal RNA". It matches the Rfam family "Bacterial small subunit ribosomal RNA", at positions 28 to 507 of the family's 1533-position model. The record is from RNAcentral.
GACGAACGCUGACGGCGUGCUUAACACAUGCAAGUCGAACGGUGAAGCGCCUUCCUUUUUGGUGGGUGUGGAUGAGUGGCGAACGGGUGAGUAACACGUGAGUAACCUGCCCCCUUCUUCUGGAUAACCGCAUGAAAGUGUGGCUAAUACGGGAUAUUCUGGGUCUGUCGCAUGAUGGGUCUGGGAAAGAUAUUGUUUCGGUGGGGGAUGGGCUCGCGGCCUAUCAGCUUGUUGGUGGGGUGAUGGCCUACCAAGGCGGUGACGGGUAGCCGGCCUGAGAGGGUGGACGGUCACACUGGGACUGAGACACGGCCCAGGCUCCUACGAGAGGCAGCAGUGGGGAAUAUUGCACAAUGGGCGCAAGCCUGAUGCAGCGACGCCGCGUGAGGGAUGGUGGCCUUCGGGUUGUGAACCUCUUUCGCCAGUGAAGCAGGCCUGCCUCGUUUGUGGGUGGGUUGACGGUAGCUGGAUAAGAAGCGCCGGCUAACUACGUG